This 3048-nucleotide long non-coding RNA is filed under the name Gossypium barbadense (sea-island cotton). RNAcentral's name for it is "long non-coding RNA (GBAR_LNC019512)". Lineage: Eukaryota; Viridiplantae; Streptophyta; Magnoliopsida; Malvales; Malvaceae. The record is from RNAcentral.
AGAUUCUUUCUUUUUCUGUAGGAUUUUUUUAGGGUUCCCUCAACCCUUUGAGCACCGCCGCUCCCCUUUGCGCCAAGGCUCCGAUUGCGACGGAGAUGACCACGACUCGGCGGGUUCGGCGUAUGGGUAAGUUUUUCCUUCCUUUUCUUUAUAUUUUAAAUGAAAAAUAAAUAAGAAAAAAUAAAAAAUAAAAACACGAUUCACCUUCGAAAAUAAAUCUUUGAAAUCUCAGUAUUUCUCUUUAUUUUCGUUUGUUUUUACACUCCAAAAAAAAUUCCCCCUCAUUUACACAAUAUAAAUGGCCUUUUAUAGCCCGAAAUCGAAAAAAUAAUCAAAUCUAAAUGCUAUUUUUUUGCUGUUUCUUCUCUCCGGGACUCUUUGAGUCCGUGUUUUUGUAGGUGUUCGUGGAGAGAAACGCGUGCGUGGAGGAGAGAUCAGCCCGAGACGUGCGGCGCUUGGACGCUUGCUGAAGGUGUUGGGGGCUGUUGCUGGUGGCUUGCUGCUUAGGGCUAGGUUUUUUUGUGCUUUUUGUUUUUUUUUUUGCUGUAUUAGGCUUGUUUAAUGCUUUGGGCCCGUUUAUUGGUUUGGGCCCGGGCAUAUUUGGGCUUGUAUAGCCAUUACCAGUUAUGUGUUGAAAUUAUGGUUCAAGGCAAAAAUAUUUACAGCGUGUUUGGUUCGCUGUAAUAGGUAUACCCUUACUCCCGAUUAUGCGCCUAUUACAUUACCGACCUAUUCCGGCGUUUGGUUCCCUCGUCCUCAACGCUCCGAUUCUCCCACGCUUCCUUGCACUCUACUUCUUCUUCUGGUACGGUACGUUUCUUUUCUUCUCACAUUUCUUUUCUUUUCUCCAUUUUCUUUUCUCCAUAUUUCUGCUUCUUCUUCCAAAUUUUUCUCUGUUUUUCUUUUCUUUUCUUUUCUGUAGAAUCGAUUUUGAUUUUGAUUUUAUUUAUCUUUGUCGAAUUUCGAAACACUUUUAAUCGGGAAUAUCAUAUAAGUUGGAUGCUUUUCAUUUGUGUCUAGACACUCAUCGUCUUCUCUGAGAAUCGAUUUCAUUUGUCAGGUAAAAUUCCCAUAUUUUGCCUAUUAUUUUUUCCCCUUUAUUUUCAUUUUUGCCUGUUGAUUUCUCUGUUCUAUUUUUCUUUCUUUAUAAUUUUUUUCUAAUUCGAGUCUCUUUUUACUAGAUCUAUAUUUUUUCUGCUGUUAUUUAUAAUCUCUUUGCAUGCAAACUAUUGUUUGGGGGGUGAUUUUGGGUUCAAGUUAUUGGGUUUGAAAAUGUUGUUGUUUUCUUUUUUCUUGGUCAAUUUUAGAAGACCAUUUAUAUGUAUGCUGUUCAAAUUUUCUGUUUUGAUUUGAUUUUUUUUUUCUGUGAUAGAAUCUUUGAAAUAUUAUUUUCUUUUUCCUCAUUAUAUGUUACAUUAAGGAUAGUUGAUUAGAAGCGGGAUUUUUUGUUUGUUGUAGAAUAUAAAUUUGUAGGUCGAAGUUGUAAUUAGUAGGUUACAUUGUGAAUUUGUGUAGUUGAAAUGCUAAGUUGUAGGAGGUGUUGAGUAUUUGUAGUAGGUCGAAGUUGUAAUUAGUAGGUUACAUUGUAAUUAGUAGGUUACAUUGUGAAUUUGUGUAGUUGAAAUGCUAAGUUGCGAGGAGUUUAGCAACUUAAAAAGCUAAUUGUAAGCUAUUGUGAUUGGGGAGGUAGUAGUAGGGGCAUCAGGUAUGAUUUUAAUCCUUCUGUUUUUUUCCACUUGUUAACUUUUAUAUAAACCUCUUGAGUAUUAUCUUCUAAACUUUCUGGCUUAUAUUUUUUUGGUAUAUUUGCUUGACACCUCUGGAGUAAAGUACUUUUUCGAAAUCUCAAUGUUUGUUUCAUUUCUCCUUUUAAUUCCAACAUUGCAAUGUGUUUUUCUCGUCUUUGUUUGCCUAAUAAAGCAUGUACUUUUUUGUUAAAUGUUUUCUUGAUCUGUUGGCCAAGAGUUUGUGCUAAGAUUUGCAUUUCAACUUUAGGUAUUAUUCUUGUUUAUGCUGUGGAGACUCGUAUCUAUAUAUCAUCUAAACUAAUGAACCACUUUUGAUUAAUUUGCAAAUAAUGAAUGAACCAGCUUCUCAAGCUAGUAUUAAGCUGUGUCACUUUCAUCUGCGCAUAAUGUGAUGGUUUGAUAGUUGAAAUUAUGGAUGAUCUGAAUCUAGCUAUAGGUGAUUAAAUAUAUGAUCACCAAAGUAGUGGCAUCCAUCUAAAGUAGUUUUCUACCUUCCUGGGCUAAGUUCAGUUAAGUCUAUAUCAUCAUCCUCCCCUUGGCAUAUUGCAUUCAUUUUAGCUAUAGAGUUAUUUGCACAAUUGGUGAUUAUCGUUUGACAUUUCUCAAUCUUCUAUACUGGCCUAGUAGUCAUUCUUCUCUCCUAACCUUUCUCAUAUGUGAUCAAUUGUACUGUUUUAUUGCAAGCGCAGUCUCCUAACUACAAUGCUACCCUGAAACAAAUUUUCCCCAAUAUUCAGCAAAUCGAUUCUGAGGUAUUGGCUUAGAAAUUUUGGUAGGUUCUGGACUUUUGUAGUUGAAUGUUCAUAAAUUUGCAAUCACACGUGUAGUAUGCUAACGGUAACAUCUCCAGUCCCUUGUUGUCUGGAGCUUGUGAGUUUGCAAAUGUUGCUAGGGGAAAACAGGGUUCUGGAAGUGAUCCCUAAUACAUGACAACCAGCAGGAAGCAUGUGAGUGCUUGGUGGGAUGAUAUUAGCAGCAGACCGUCCUAGCAGAAGGUUCUCCAGCUCUAUGCUCCUCAUUUCUAAGAAUUGAAAAUGAUGCAAUCUGGGGAUGGGGUCUUUUUAAUGAUGUCUGCUUUGUUGUUUAGCAGUUUGGUUUGGUUUGGGGUCUGGUCUUUGACUGUUUUAAGAGGCCAACUAGUUAUCCUGUGUUAGUUAUACUUACAAUAAAAUGUUGGUAGGGGUAGGGGGUUACAAUUAUCGUUUUGUUUGCCUAUGUUUGAUAUUAUGAAUAAAGAUGAAGCAAUCAUGGAGAUAUCAAAGAGAACCAAGUGCACAAUUGAAUGUGCUUCAAAGGCAAA